RNAcentral lists this ribosomal RNA (197 nucleotides) under uncultured bacterium. RNAcentral's name for it is "partial 16S ribosomal RNA". It matches the Rfam family "Bacterial small subunit ribosomal RNA", at positions 326 to 539 of the family's 1533-position model. The record is from RNAcentral.
ACGCUCGACACCUACGGGGCAGCAGUUGGGAAUAUUGGACAAUGGAGGAAACUCUGAUCCAGUGACGCCGCGUGAAGGAAGAAGGUCUUCGGAUUGUAAACUUAUUUUGUCAGGGAAGAAAAAUGACUGUACCUGAAGAAAAAGCACCGGCUAACUACGUGUCAGCAGCCGCGGUAAUCUGAGCGGGCUGGCAAGGC